ACAUUACAGAAGUACCCGGCUUGACUGCAGGAACUCAGACCCAAGGCGGCGGUCAUGAUAACUGCUGCAACCAAUGGUGUUUGGGCAAAUCUUAAGCACAGCAGUGACACGCCUGGCCCGAUAAAACCAAUUGACUGCAACAGGUGAUGCUGUUACCUGCAUAAUUUUCCGAACUCGCACAAUGGAGAAACCUGAUUUGAUCAUAAAAUCUGCAGAGGCACCUGCAACAUAUCCUGAUAGAGCCAUGACCGCCCAAGGUAUCAGAGGUUAAUGUUACUUGCAGCAAGCUACUUAGAUGUCACUACUGAGUAAAUGUAAUGGGUGAAAGGAGCUACUUACUUAGGUAAGAAAGUGCUCAUUGUCGGAAAUGCGACGCCUUCAGCAAGGCCAAAGAGUACACGCACAGCAAGCAACAUCGCAGCCGAUUUAGAGGCAGCCCAUGGAGUGAGGAAAGUGGCCAACGACCAGAGUACAGCAGCGCCUGCCAUCACCUUCUUCCCCCCGUAUCGGUCUGCCAAAGCUCCUCCAACCAUGGAUGAGAAAACAUAUCCCCAUAGAAAUGAUGACUGCAGCAGUUGUGGUAAGAUUUAAUAUCAAGUCGGUCAAUUUGGACACCAUCAAUCAUGGACGACAACAAGGGAAUAAGUUGAGGUUGUUUUGGCCUAGAUACUCAUGCAUAUCUAUAGUUUGAUGCUAGUAGGUAAAAGCUGUCUUCUGAUCAAAGUACUUGUGCUUAUUGGUUGCUACAAUGACUUCAUUGUUGGAAUCUCCGACUAGUUGAGAUUAUGCACACCACACCAUCAGACACAUGCUGAAUGACGUCUAGUGCUGCAAUCGUUAAGCCUUGUGGGGUAGCUACUGAUGCAACCUAUCUUUGUUGUCCCAGUCACUAGAAUUGACCAUUGACAUAUUACCUUUCUGGAGACAACUACUCCAGCACACACUGUAUAAAGACGUUCGCGUCGUGACUCAUGAGUUCAUGAACGACAGCUAUGCAAAUAGUACUUAUUAAUUUCCAAUAGCAGUGUUAUAAAAUGUACUAUUGCUUCAGUCGUUCAUGCAUCUCGUCACUCUGAAGUUGAUGCACCGUUGACUUUGUUGAGCAAUAAACUCAACUAGAGCUCAGCAAGAACGGGACAGAGAAGGAGACGCGAUCGUGUGGAUGCAUACCUGGACGAUCCCGACGAAGGAGCUCGACCAGCCAUGCUGCGCGGCGAGCGGCACGACGGCGACGGACAUGACGAC
Brachypodium distachyon (stiff brome) is the source of this 1245-nucleotide long non-coding RNA. RefSeq lists it as uncharacterized. Lineage: Eukaryota; Viridiplantae; Streptophyta; Magnoliopsida; Poales; Poaceae. The record is from RefSeq and is a predicted model, not a curated record. The transcript is spliced from 5 exons.